This 253-nucleotide ribosomal RNA is filed under the name uncultured bacterium. RNAcentral's name for it is "partial 16S ribosomal RNA". It matches the Rfam family "Bacterial small subunit ribosomal RNA", at positions 524 to 776 of the family's 1533-position model. The record is from RNAcentral.
UACGUAGGGCGCAAGCGUUGUCCGGAAUUAUUGGGCGUAAAGAGCUCGUAGGCGGUUUGUCGCGUCGAAUGUGAAAACCCGGGGCUCAACCCCGGGCCUGCAUUCGAUACGGGCAGACUAGAGUUCGGUAGGGGAGUCUGGAAUUCCUGGUGUAGCGGUGAAAUGCGCAGAUAUCAGGAGGAACACCGGUGGCGAAGGCGGGACUCUGGGCCGAUACUGACGCUGAGGAGCGAAAGCGUGGGGAGCAAACAGG